RNAcentral lists this ribosomal RNA (371 nucleotides) under uncultured bacterium. Its description in RNAcentral is "bacterial SSU rRNA". It matches the Rfam family "Bacterial small subunit ribosomal RNA", at positions 525 to 896 of the family's 1533-position model. The record is from RNAcentral.
ACGUAGGGUGCGAGCGUUAAUCGGAAUUACUGGGCGUAAAGCGUGCGCAGGCGGUUCGUUGUGUCGGUGGUGAAAGCCCCGGGCUUAACCUGGGAAUGGCCAUCGAAACUGGCGGACUGGAGUGUGGCAGAGGGGGGUGGAAUUCCGCGUGUAGCAGUGAAAUGCGUAGAGAUGCGGAGGAACACCGAUGGCGAAGGCAGCCCCCUGGGCUGACACUGACGCUCAGGCACGAAAGCGUGGGGAGCAAACAGGAUUAGAUACCCUGGUAGUCCACGCCCUAAACGAUGUCAACUAGGUGUUCGGGAAGUGAUUUCUGGGUACCGUAGCUAACGCGUGAAGUUGACCGCCUGGGGAGUACGGCCGCAAGGUUA